UCAUAAUGCCGGCUAAUAUUUCAAGACGCAUCUUGCCACAUGGCAUAAACACAGGGGGGGCGGGGGGUGUUUCAUCAUUACAUAGGUGUAUGUGCGCCCCUAUUGAACAGCUGAGUGUUAUAACACCCACACGGUCAAUUAUGACAAUUAAUAAAUGGCUUCCUUAACUGGGCAGCUAAUAAUUCAUCAUGGUUGUAUUCUGACAACGCAAGGCGGCUUUGCAAACCUUCUCUGAGGGCAACUUCUAACUGCACUGUUUGAAAUCUGUUCUAAAAAAUAUUUUUAAAUAUAUACAGUAUAUAUAUAGAUAUAAAAGAAAGAUAAGAGAUUCACAAAUACAGCCCACAACAAUAACAAACAUUUUUAACUUGAUUUUUUUUUUAUUUAAUAUUUGGAUUGUGCACUAUUCCCUCGGGCGCUCAUACGCCACAAAUUACAGCCUACCAAAAUUGCCCCUCAAUAAAUCAAGGCUCCUUUUCAAAUACCUUCAAUAAAAAGUUAUUAUAAUGAUGACGAUGCUUGAGGGGAUUCACCGGAGGGACAUUUUCUUUUUUUUUUUUCAAGGUGCAAAGUGGUGCAAAUAAAAACAGACAAAUGACGUUAAGCGAUGUCUGUCAUUACCUGAGAAAGUUCUAUCUAAAAAAAAAAAACAAGCUCACAUACUGAACAUACGUGAGUUGCACGGUGUGCGACCUUGUGGCGGCUACAUUGCAAAGCAUUUUUCAAGAGGUGCUGGGAGAGGGUGCGCAGUGUGCAACAAGUGAGUAAAAGUCUCUCUCCCUCUCGCGCUCUCUCUCUCUCUCGCUUGCAGCCAUGAAGAUUAGAUAUGGCUCCCAACAGGCCCUGGGAGCCCUAAUCAAAUGGGAAAUGUAAGGCGAGACUCAACUCUGUAGCAACACAACGCUGGAUAAAAAUGUCUGUGACAUCAUCACCUACUGGCUACAUCAAGCAACAAACUGACCCGGAGCUGUACGAUCGCAACACACUUGACUGCACCUCCAACCAUGUAGCCUCAAGAUAAGCAUGAGCAUAACCUCCAUGGGAACUCCUAUCUACCGCUCCGAGGAAGGAUCUCCAAAACAAAGCCCCGAGAACCCCGCGAGGUCCUCAAAAGUAAGACGGCACCGCGACUCAUCACGAGCGAGCAGAUUCAAAGCCCUUUAGUUGUGCCUAAUUGAAUGCGGCGCAGGAGAA
Hippocampus zosterae (dwarf seahorse) is the source of this 1194-nucleotide long non-coding RNA. RefSeq lists it as uncharacterized. The record is from RefSeq and is a predicted model, not a curated record. Lineage: Eukaryota; Metazoa; Chordata; Actinopteri; Syngnathiformes; Syngnathidae. The transcript is spliced from 3 exons.